CAUGCUUUACAUGCUUUCUCUGAAACAUAUGCACAAUAACUCAUGAGGUAGUAUCACUAUGACAGAAGUCUGAGUUUUAAUUGCUAAUACAGUUUUCCAGAUGAAGAGUCAAAGCACAGAGAUUUAUCCCAGGUCAUAUGACUAGUAAUUGGUUGAGCCUUGUCUGCCUAAAUCUGAUUCCUGAGCUCUUGUUAUCACUACCUAAAACGUCUUUCUAGUAGAAAAUAUCAUUAUUAUAUGCAAGUAUGAAUAUAACACAAUGAAACACUUUAUUUUGUACAAUUAAUAUGCACUUUAAAAAAUAAGGCUGGGGGCUGGGAUUGUGGCUCAGCUGUAGAGCGCUUGCCUAGCAUGCGCGAGACCCGGGUUCAAUUCUCAGCAUCAAAAAAUAAAUAAAUAAAGGCAUUGUGUUGUGUCCAUCUACAAAAAAAGAUAUUCUCUCUCUCUUAAAAAAAAAAUAAGGCUGGGAAUGUAGCUCAGGGAUAUAGCACUUGCCUAGUGUAUGCAAGGCCCAGUAUUAAAUAAACAAAUAACAUUUAAAAACCAGAAAACAAAAUAAACUUGUCUCUCCAGGAAAUCCACUGUUCUUCCUCCCAUUAUGUUGCUCGGAGUCCUUGCUCUAUUUGUAUCCAGUCCUGUUACCAUUUCUAGACAUUUUCACAACUUCUACUUUAGGAUAAAUGCUAAACCUAGCUAUCAGUCCACUUCUUGCCUCCCCCAAACUCUGAAGGUUGAAAAAGUCUGUGCUUUCAAUAUCUGCCCAUAAAUUUUACAAGGGCAUUCAACUAUAUUUUGUUCCAAAGAUUGUUAUUUCCUAAUUCUCCUCCUCAAACUUUAAUUACCAUCUUUUUACUCUCAUUGAUGACUUCAUAUCUCUCCCUUUUGGUUAUGCUGAGAAUCAAACACAGGACCUACCACAAACUGGGUGAGAGCUCUAUCACUGAGCCAAAUUCCCAGCCUUAUUUUUAUUUUAAGACAGGGUCUUUCCUCAAAAGGCUAGGCAUGGAACCGCCAUACCGCUCCUUAGUAUUUCUGCAGAAGAAUUAAAAUCAUCAUAUUACAGUGAUACAUACCACCCAUGUUUAUAGCAGCACAAUUCAUAACAAAAGUCAUAUAGAAAAAUGAAAUUAUGUCAUUUGCAGAAAAAUGGAUGAAACUAGAAACCAUUAAGUAAAGUGAAAUAAGUAUAGCUCAGAAGGUUAAGGGUCCUGUGUUUUCUCUCCUAUGUAGAAGCCAGAGAGGAAAAACGAAAAGAAAGAUGGGGGCGGAUCUCAUUAAAAUCAAAGGGACAUCAGAAGAGGAAAACAACCAAGGGAUGGGAGUAGGGAGACAGGGGGAAAGUGCUAGGGCGUGAUACUACCAAAUUAUAUUGUUAUAUUAUAUGCAUGUACAAAUACAGCAACAACUCCCAUCAUUAUGUACAACUAAAAUGCACCAAUUAAAAAAUGCAGAGUGUGGGGAGACAGACUCUCACUAUAUUGUCGAGGAUGGCCUCAAACUUGCAACUUCUCUGCCUCAAUCUCUCAAGAAUCUGGGUUUAUAGGUAUAUGCCACCAUGCUCAGCUCAUAUCAUCUUUCAAAGUCACUCUUCUAAACUGGCAUGUUUACACUUGCAUCAAUGUACUCUGCUUUCUCUCCUACUCUACUAAAUCCAACAUCUUUACAUCUGCUCGAAAUCUUAUUCCUGCAAUCUCAAGGAUUUGGUGUCAAAAUUACUUUCUCAAUGGGGUGCCAAGGCACAAGCCAGGGAAUUUGGGAGAAUAGAGCAGCAGGAUGGAAAGUUAGAGGCUAGCCACAGCAACUAAGUGAGAUCCCACCCUCAGUGACUUAGAAACCCUGUCUUAAUUUUUUUAUAUCUUUAUUUCAUUCAUUCAUUCAUUUAUUUAUUUAUAAUUUAUGUGGUGCUGAGGAUUGAACCUAAAGCCUCACAAGUGUGAGGCAACCGCUCUACCACUGAGCUAUAACCCUAGCCCCUUAAAAUUUUUUAAAAAGUUGUCUUGUUUAGGGCAAUUUUUCCCUUUUUCAUAGGCACAAAAUAUCUUAAUAUUUUACAAAAUAUCUAUCUUACAAAAUCUAUCUUACCAAAAAAAAAUUACUAUUGACUCCACAUAGUACCAUUCUCUUUCCUUCUCAUUAAAAUCAACAUAAAAAAGUUUUCUCCAUUUCUCUGUUCAUCAUUCAACUUGUUUGGCCCAGCAUUCUCUGAAAACAGGAUCUACCAAGAUGUCUCAUGACUCCCAUCAUGCCAAAUUCAAGAGUCAAUUCCACUGUCAUCUCACUCAACUACUCAGAUCUGACACAACUGCCUGAGUUUUCUUGAAUAUUUCCUGUUGGAUUCUAAGACACUUCUCUCUCCUGUUUCCUAGCACAUUCUGGAUGCUCCUUCUCAAACUCCUUUUUUGGCUUCUCCUAAUUUUCCAAUGAACUUCUGUAUAUCCUUUUCUUUUCUCUAUAUACACUCCAUAUUCUUUCUAGGUAAUCCCAUCCAAUCCACAACUGAUGAAUAAAAUAAUUUCUCUACCCCUAACCACCACUAUGAGCUGCAGCCCAGAACUCAAACUAUCUUCUUGUUUUUUUUUUUUUUUUUGGGGGGGGGUACCAGGGAUUGAACUCAGGGGCACUCAAAACCACUGAGCCACAUCCCCAGCCCUAUUUUGUAUUUUAUUUAAAGACAGGGUCUCACCGAGUUGCUUAGUGCCUUGCUAUUGGUAAGGCUGGCUUUGAAAUCAUGAUGUUCCUGUCUCAGCUUCCUGAGCCAGUGGGAUUACAGACAUGCACCACUGCACCUGGCUUCAUUUUUUUUAGUUGUAGAUGAACACAAUACCUUUAUUUUAUUUUAUGCAGUGCUGAGGAGUGAACCCUGUGCCUCCUAUGAGCAAGGCAAGCACUCUACCACUAAGCCACACUCCCAGCCCUCAAUCACCUUCUUGAGAACUCAAGCACCUCAGAAAUGAACAGGCCCAAAAGAAAGUUUUUAUCCUUGACUUUAUCACUAUUAUAAACAUGCAUCAAUAAGUGGAAAAAUGUAUUGGUUGGAUAUCAAACACCGAAGUAUCCACAGAUAAUGGCAAUGCAAAAGGCAUAAAAUAAGAAAUGUAUCUAAAUAAAAUACAAAACAGGGCUGGGGAUGUGCCUCAGUGGUUGAGUACCCCUGAGUUUAAUCCCCAGUACCAAAAAAAAAAAAGUACAAAAUAAAAUGUUUUGAAUGAGCAAUGUUCACAUAAUCCUAAUGUAAAUACUGAUUACAGAUUUAAUUGUGCUAUAAACUUGUUGGGAACUGCAUAAAGAAUCUGUAGAAAUAUAUGUAGGAGAACUAAAUUUUUAUUUAUUAUAGUAACAAAAUAAAUAUCUAAAACUGCAAAAUCAAGAAACUGCAGUUAAGCAUUAUAUUUUGAAAAGUAGAAGUAAAUAAAUAGCUAUAAG
Molecule: long non-coding RNA, 3423 nt
Filed under: Marmota monax (woodchuck)
Lineage: Eukaryota; Metazoa; Chordata; Mammalia; Rodentia; Sciuridae
Source: RNAcentral